CGAAUCUCGAAAGCCUGUCUCAGUUCGGAUUGGAGGCUGAAACCCGCCUCCAUGAAGUUGGAUUCGCUAGUAAUCGCGCAUCAGCCAUGGCGCGGUGAAUACGUUCCCGGGCCUUGUGCACACCGCCCGUCAAGCCAUGGGAGCCGGGGGUGCCUGAAGUUCGUGACCGCAAGGAGCGACCUAGGGCAAAACUGGUGACUGGGGCUAAGUCGUAACAAGGUACC
This 224-nucleotide ribosomal RNA is filed under the name uncultured bacterium. RNAcentral describes it as "partial 16S ribosomal RNA". It matches the Rfam family "Bacterial small subunit ribosomal RNA", at positions 1268 to 1500 of the family's 1533-position model. The record is from RNAcentral.